RNAcentral lists this small nucleolar RNA (70 nucleotides) under Ailuropoda melanoleuca (giant panda). Its description in RNAcentral is "Small nucleolar RNA SNORD50 (ENSAMEG00000021923.2)". It matches the Rfam family "Small nucleolar RNA SNORD50". Rfam says of the family: U50 belongs to the C/D class of snoRNA which contain the C (UGAUGA) and D (CUGA) box motifs. Most of the members of the box C/D family function in directing site-specific 2'-O-methylation of substrate RNAs. Lineage: Eukaryota; Metazoa; Chordata; Mammalia; Carnivora; Ursidae. The record is from Rfam by way of RNAcentral.
GAUCAAUGAUGAAACCUAUCCCGAAGCUGACUACCUGAAGAAAAGCAUGUACGGGUUUGGCUUCUGAGAU